Molecule: long non-coding RNA, 1010 nt
Organism: Manis pentadactyla (Chinese pangolin)
Lineage: Eukaryota; Metazoa; Chordata; Mammalia; Pholidota; Manidae
Exons: 5
Source: RefSeq, a predicted model, not a curated record
CCGGGAACUUGGGCAGCCGCCCGCAGGCCUCUUCUGCGCCUGUGCGGAGCCGGCUCAGCCCGGGGUUUCCCGGCUCUUCCUGGUCCGGGUCCUGCAGCCGGGGAGGCCCUCGUGACUGCGCUCGCCAGGCUCCACUGCGAAUUGGAAGAGAAGCGGGUGCACCCACAAGUUAGAGGAAAGGCUGGCGGGGAGCUCCGAGGCCUCGGGAGCAGAAGGGGAGGAGAGGCCGGGCGGAGCCUUGGUCCGCGGAGCGAGGACGUGCGCCUUCCCCGCAUCCCUCCGGAGCGAGGCCCCGAAGCGGGUUUCCGAAGGUCAGGGAGAAAAGCAGCGAGGGGCGGGCAGAGCCCCUGACCUGCAGGCGUCGGAGCGGGCUCUCCCUGCAGACUUUCUUGCCUGAAGAAGGUGUUCUGUGAACGUGAAAGGAGUCUAUUAAUGAGCUGCCUUCUCUGUUGUGCACUGGAAUUUACUGCCCGACGUGGAAAUGCCACCUUCAUCAUACUCCAAAUUCGCACACAAACUCUUGGCUUGGUACCUGUUCUUCUAAGGAGCCACAGCAAGGAGACGUGGAGACACCGGCAGUCGCGAACUUGAUGGAUUACAGCGGGAGAACCUAGGGAACCGGUCCUUUGCGGCUCCUUCUGCGCAUGUGCAGUUCUUCCUCCUUGUUCGCCAGCUCCCCUGUCUCCAGCUGCGCUGCAGGUAAUCCUGGAGCCUCCAGGUCGAAGCGUUGCUCGGUGACCGGGUGCUGCACGAAGGAUGUGCACUACAGCUAGAUCCACACUCCCCUGGAUCACACAGUUCUUGUGAAGAAAGAAGGCGGCAAUACCAGGAGCAGGCCUCCCGCCUGGGAGAUGCCCACCCCGCCCAGACGCAGGUCACCACAGCUGCCGGGCACAGAUCCUGGGAGCAAGCCGAUUCUCAGAACCACUCAGAAGUGAGUCCUGGUCCUUUUGUCCUAAGGGACAGCGCCAUGCCAGACGUCAGCCAAGGUGUGGCCUGACUUUCAAAAC